This 460-nucleotide ribosomal RNA is filed under the name uncultured bacterium. Its description in RNAcentral is "partial 16S ribosomal RNA". It matches the Rfam family "Bacterial small subunit ribosomal RNA", at positions 338 to 795 of the family's 1533-position model. The record is from RNAcentral.
CCUACGGGUGGCAGCAGUGAGGAAUAUUGGUCAAUGGACGAAAGUCUGAACCAGCCAAGUAGCGUGAAUGAUGACUGCCCUAUGGUUUGUAAACUUCUUUUAUAGGGGAAUAAAACGUUCUUCGUGUGGGAUUUUGUAUGUACCAUAUGAAUACGGAUCGGCUAACGACGUGCCAGCAGCCGAGGUAAUACGGUGGAUCCGAGCGUUAUGCGGAUUUAUUGGGUUUAAAGGGAGCGUAGGUGGAUUGUUAAGUCAGUUGUGAAAGUUUGCGGCUCAACCGUAAAAGUGCAGUUGAAACUGGCAGUCUGGAGUACAGUAGAGGUGGGCGGAAUUCGUGGUGUAGCGGUGAAAUGCUUAGAUAUCACGAAGAACUCCGAUUGCGAAGGCAGUUCACUGGACUGCAACUGACACUGAGGCUCGAAAGUGUGGGUAUCAAACAGGAUUAGAUACCCCUGUAGUC